RNAcentral lists this ribosomal RNA (184 nucleotides) under Kotorella pronosoma. RNAcentral's name for it is "partial 12S ribosomal RNA". The record is from RNAcentral. Lineage: Eukaryota; Metazoa; Platyhelminthes; Cestoda; Trypanorhyncha; Tentaculariidae.
CUUAGUUUGUUUAACUAUGGCAACAGAAAGUUAAUCUAAGUUAAUUCGCAUAAAUUAAUUUUUGUGAUGGUCUAAAUAUUUUUUUUAGGGGCGGUUAUUAGCGGAUAGCGUUUUAUUUGGGUGUAAGCCCUUUAAGUAAUUUAGGUGAAUUGGGGAUAGGGCGCAGUGCCAGCAUCUGCGGUUA